CAGUCGCCGCGGUAAGACAGAGGAUGCAAGCGUUAUCCGGAAUGAUUGGGCGUAAAGCGUCUGUAGGUGGCUUUUCAAGUCCGCCGCCAAAUCCCAGGGCUCAACCCUGGACAGGCGGUGGAAACUACCAAGCUGGAGUACGGUAGGGGCAGAGGGAAUUUCCAGUGGAGCGGUGAAAUGCGUUGAGAUCGAAAAGAACACCAACAGCGAAAGCACUCUGCUGGGACGACACUGACACUAAGAGACGAAAGCUAGGGGAGCAAAUGGGAUUAGAUACCCCAGUAGUCCCUGUCUCUUAUAC
This 301-nucleotide ribosomal RNA is filed under the name uncultured bacterium. RNAcentral describes it as "partial 16S ribosomal RNA". It matches the Rfam family "Bacterial small subunit ribosomal RNA", at positions 509 to 807 of the family's 1533-position model. The record is from RNAcentral.